UGUGAUUAUAAACCAUGGGACCUUUAGCGAGAAUUUUCAUUCUCACUCUUGUUUCCUUUCCAAAUUAUGGCAGAGGUUGCAGAUGUGCAGAAAGCUUUCAACUGUCCAACUAACUGAAAGACUUGACUAUUCUAAUUUGCCUGGCCUGAAUUCCAACAUGAAAAAUGGAAGGGAUGGUAUUAUUGUGAGAAAGUUGAUGGAGGAAUCAAUUUUCAUGUGUGUAGUCUGAAGGAAGGAACACUUAACUGGGAAAUGUUGCAAUUCAAGCCAAAAUUUCCACGUCAAGUAUUGCUUUGCAGAGUUGGGGAAUUUUAUGAAGCUUGGGGAAUAAAUGUAUGUAUUCUUGUUGAAUAUGAGGGUUUAAAUCCUUUUGGCGGUCUGCAAUCAGAUAGUAUCCCGAGAGCUGGUUGUCCUGUUGUGGUAUUUUUAUUUUUGUCGGCAAACUUUUAUAUUGAUGCUGCCAUUUGUUUUGGUUAUUUUCUUUUCUCAUCAAAUUUAAUUUUUAUAUUGAUAAUUGUGAAUGAACUUCUUAUAUGUAUAAUAAUCACUUUCUUCCUUUCUUUGGUCAAAGAAUCUUCGACAAACUUUAGAUGAUCGGACACAAAGCGGUUAUUCAGUGUGCCUGCCAUCUUACCAGUCUAUGAGUACAUGCUGCUAAUAAAUUUUGGUCUCAACACUGCAUUGUGGAGGAGGCAGGCUCAGGGCCCAACUCAAGCUCGAUCCAGGAAACGUCUCUUUAUAUCUGGAUUAAAAGAAGGAAGGGGCAUAUGGACAGAGGUUAAGGCAUCAUCCAUAACAGACAGAAAUCCAACUUGAAAUUGAAAAUAAGCAAUAUGGUUAUUGGACAAAUUCAGCUCUGCCCCUUGUUCUCCAGGCCUACUGUGAUGUUGAUUAGGCAUUUAACCUGAGAUGUUGGAAUCUUCACAUAUGUGUCCUGCGUAUUUCUUGGUCCUAACCUAGUCUCUUGGUGGUCUAAGAAACAAACCUUGGUGGCCCAAUGGAGCACGGAGGUAAAGCAUUUCUGUUUGACACGCAACAGAAAAAGUAUUAUGGCUGCAGUCUCUUUUCACAGAACUUGGGGUUGAAUUUACUACACCCACUAUCCUAUGUGCCAAUCUCAGUACUGUGUCACCAGCUCGUAAUCCCUUUCUUCAUGUUAGAACAAAGCAUGUGGGACUUGUCCUAUUAUUUGUAAGGAAGGUGAACAACCAAAGCUUUCAUCUCUAUUAAGUUUCUGCUCUACACAAAUGUACUCACAUUCUAAUUGAACCAAAGCUGUCACACCUCCAUUUUAGAGAACUUCAACAAAAACUCAGUUUUUUUUGUUUUUAUCAAUUCUCGGAUCAGCCCCUCUUGAGUUUGAGGGGGAGUAUUGGAGUGAUGUCACAUUACUACUGUUACUCUGUCAGUAUUUUACAACUUUAACCUAGGGUGUUUAGUUGUGACUUCUCUAUAAUUUCUACUGUUAGGUGCAAUUACUUUAGAUUUGUCUAAGUUAUUGCUGAGUUGUAACUGAGCUUA
This is a long non-coding RNA of Glycine soja, 1521 nucleotides long. RefSeq lists it as uncharacterized. Lineage: Eukaryota; Viridiplantae; Streptophyta; Magnoliopsida; Fabales; Fabaceae. The transcript is spliced from 6 exons. The record is from RefSeq and is a predicted model, not a curated record.